GUGAGAGAAGGACAAAGCUUUACCCACUCAGUGUGGGGCCUUCACAUAAUCAGAAUGCCGCCGUAGCUGCCAAUUCACCUGUCAACAGGUCCUCCUGAGCCAGGGAGCCACAGAGAUCAAGUCCAAUCCAGUGUACACUGAGCAGCCCUUGGGCUAUUUGGUGAGCGAAAAUCCCCCCCACCUGACUUUUCAAGUUCAGAGCUUCCCCAGGGGAUUAGAAUGCAGGUAUUCCCUCCUCUACUUCAUUAAGCGCUCCUGCUUGAUGCCUGGAACCACCGGAUCCCCACACAGUUCAGGCAAAGCCAGUCCCAGGCCAGAGCUUUGCAGAGACACGAGUCAGAGGGACAGA
Molecule: long non-coding RNA, 349 nt
Filed under: Equus caballus (horse)
Lineage: Eukaryota; Metazoa; Chordata; Mammalia; Perissodactyla; Equidae
Description: lncRNA (ENSECAG00000050687.1)
Source: RNAcentral